GGGCCCGCACAAGCGGCGGAGCAUGCGGAUUAAUUCGAUGCAACGCGAAGAACCUUACCAAGGCUUGACAUGGACCGGAUCGCCGCAGAAAUGUGGUUUCUCCUUUGGGGCCGGUUCACAGGUGGUGCAUGGUUGUCGUCAGCUCGUGUCGUGAGAUGUUGGGUUAAGUCCCGCAACGAGCGCAACCCUCGUUCCAUGUUGCCAGCACGUAGUGGUGGGGACUCAUGGGAGACUGCCGGGGUCAACUCGGAGGAAGGUGGGGACGACGUCAAAUCAUCAUGCCCCUUAUGUCUUGGGCCUCACGCAUGCUACAAUGGCCGGUACAAAGGGUUGCGAUACUGUGAGGUGGAGCUAAUCCCAAAAAGCCGGUCUCAGUUCGGAUUGGGGUCUGCAACUCGACCCCAUGAAGUCGGAGUCGCUAGUAAUCGCAGA
This 432-nucleotide ribosomal RNA is filed under the name uncultured Actinomycetes bacterium. RNAcentral describes it as "bacterial SSU rRNA". It matches the Rfam family "Bacterial small subunit ribosomal RNA", at positions 917 to 1348 of the family's 1533-position model. The record is from RNAcentral. Lineage: Bacteria; Bacillati; Actinomycetota; Actinomycetes.